This 406-nucleotide ribosomal RNA is filed under the name uncultured bacterium. Its description in RNAcentral is "partial 16S ribosomal RNA". It matches the Rfam family "Bacterial small subunit ribosomal RNA", at positions 30 to 526 of the family's 1533-position model. The record is from RNAcentral.
AUUGAACGCUGGCGGCAGGCUUAACACAUGCAAGUCGAGCGAGCGGCGGACGGGUGAGUAAUGUCUGGGAAACUGCCUGAUGGAGGGGGAUAACUACUGGAAACGGUCGCUAAUACCGCAUACCAUCGGAUGUGCCCAGAUGGGAUUAGCUAGUAGGUGGGUGAAAGGCUAACCUAGGCGACGAUCCCUAGCUGGUCUGAGAGGAUGACCAGCCACACGGGAACGGCGCCCCGGUCCAGACUCCUACGGUAGGCAGCAGUGGGGAAUAUUGCACAAUGGGCGCAAGCCUGAUGCAGCCAUGCCGCUUGUGUGAAGCAGGCCUUCGGGUGGUAAAGUACUUACAGCGGGAAGGCGUUACCCGCAGAAGAAGCACCGGCUAACUCCGUGCCAGCAGCCGCGGUAAUAC